GACGAACGCUGGCGGCGUGCCUAAUACAUGCAAGUAGAACGCUGAAAGAGGAGCUUGCUUCUCUGGAUGAGUUGCGAACGGGUGAGUAACGCGUAGGUAACCUGCCUGGUAGCGGGGGAUAACUAUUGGAAACGAUAGCUAAUACCGCAUAAGAGUAGAUGUCGCAUGACAUUUGCUUAAAAGGUGCAAUUGCAUCACUACCAGAUGGACCUGCGUUGUAUUAGCUAGUUGGUGAGGUAACGGCUCACCAAGGCAACGAUACAUAGCCGACCUGAGAGGGUGAUCGGCCACACUGGGACUGAGACACGGCCCAGACUCCUACGGGAGGCAGCAGUAGGGAAUCUUCGGCAAUGGACGGAAGUCUGACCGAGCAACGCCGCGUGAGUGAAGAAGGUUUUCGGAUCGUAAAGCUCUGUUGUAAGAGAAGAACGAGUGUGAGAGUGGAAAGUUCACACUGUGACGGUAUCUUACCAGAAAGGGACGGCUAACUACGUG
Molecule: ribosomal RNA, 495 nt
Filed under: uncultured bacterium
Lineage: Bacteria
Description: partial 16S ribosomal RNA
Rfam family: Bacterial small subunit ribosomal RNA
Source: RNAcentral